RNAcentral lists this ribosomal RNA (133 nucleotides) under uncultured bacterium. RNAcentral describes it as "partial 16S ribosomal RNA". The record is from RNAcentral.
AGGUUACGUCAAGACUCACGGCUAUUAACCGUAGGCUUUUCUUCUCUACUGAAAGUGCUUUACAACCCGCAGGCCUUCUUCACUCACGCGGCAUUGCUGGAUCAGGCUUGCGCCCAUUGUCCAAUAUUCCCCA